This 404-nucleotide ribosomal RNA is filed under the name uncultured bacterium. RNAcentral's name for it is "partial 16S ribosomal RNA". It matches the Rfam family "Bacterial small subunit ribosomal RNA", at positions 30 to 526 of the family's 1533-position model. The record is from RNAcentral.
AUUGAACGCUGGCGGCAGGCCUAACACAUGCAAGUCGAGCGAGCGGCGGACGGGUGAGUAAUGCCUGGGAAUUGCCAAGUCGAGGGGGAUAACAGUUGACAACUACUGCUAAUACCUCAUACGGUUUUCUUGCCCAGGUGGGAUUAGCUAGUUGGUGAGGUAAUGGCUCACCAAGGCGACGAUCCCUAGCCGGUCUGAGAGGAUGAUCAGCCACACUGGAACUGAGACACGGCCCAGACUCCUACGGGAGGCAGCAGUGGGGAAUCUUGAGCAAUGGGCGAAACCCUGAUGGAGACAUGCCGCGUGUGUGAAGAAGGCCUUCGGGUUGUAAAACACUUUCAGCGAGGAGGCGUUACUCGCCGAAGAAGCACCGGCUAACUCCGUGCCAGCAGCCGCGGUAAUUC